RNAcentral lists this ribosomal RNA (1406 nucleotides) under Anacaena lineata. RNAcentral describes it as "SSU rRNA". It matches the Rfam family "Eukaryotic small subunit ribosomal RNA", at positions 441 to 1763 of the family's 1831-position model. The record is from RNAcentral. Lineage: Eukaryota; Metazoa; Arthropoda; Insecta; Coleoptera; Hydrophilidae.
UUACCCACUCCCGGCACGGGGAGGUAGUGACGAAAAAUAACGAUACGGGACUCAUCCGAGGCCCCGUAAUCGGAACGAGUACACUCUAAACCCUUUAACGAGGAUCAAUUGGAGGGCAAGUCUGGUGCCAGCAGCCGCGGUAAUUCCAGCUCCAAUAGCGUAUAUUAAAGUUGUUGCGGUUAAAAAGCUCGUAGUCGAAUCUGUGUCCCGCGCCGCCGGUUCAUCGCUCGCGGUGUUUAACUGGCGUGUCCGCGGGACGUCCUGCCGGUGGGCUCAGCCCCGCGAGGGGCGGCCCAACUUCAAAUCCCACCGCGGUGCUCUUCACCGAGUGUCGAGGUGGGCCGGCACGUUUACUUUGAACAAAUUAGAGUGCUUAAAGCAGGCUAAAACUUCGCCUGAAUACUGUGUGCAUGGAAUAAUGGAAUAGGACCUCGGUUCUAUUUUGUUGGUUUUCGGAACCCCGAGGUAAUGAUUAAUAGGAACGGAUGGGGGCAUUCGUAUUGCGACGUUAGAGGUGAAAUUCUUGGAUCGUCGCAAGACGGACAGAAGCGAAAGCAUUUGCCAAAAACGCUUUCAUUGAUCAAGAACGAAAGUUAGAGGUUCGAAGGCGAUCAGAGAUACCGCCCUAGUUCUAACCAUAAACGAUGCCAGCUAGCGAUCCGCCGACGUUCCUCCGAUGACUCGGCGGGCAGCUUCCGGAAACCAAAGCUUUUGGGUUCCGGGGAAGUAUGGUUGCAAAGCUGAAACUUAAAGGAAUUGACGGAAGGGCACCACCAGGAGUGGAGCCUGCGGCUUAAUUUGACUCGACACGGGAAACCUCACCAGGCCCGGACACCGGAAGGAUUGACAGAUUGAGAGCUCUUUCUUGAUUCGGUGGGUGGUGGUGCAUGGCCGUUCUUAGUUGGUGGAGCGAUUUGUCUGGUUAAUUCCGAUAACGAACGAGACUCUAGCCUGCUAACUAGGCGCAUUUUCGACAUCUCAAAGGCCCGCCGGUCCGGCGCUCUCGCGUCGUGUCCGCGCGCGGUUUUUACUGUCGGCGUACAAUCAAUUCUUCUUAGAGGGACAGGCGGCUUCUAGCCGCACGAGAUUGAGCAAUAACAGGUCUGUGAUGCCCUUAGAUGUUCUGGGCCGCACGCGCGCUACACUGAAGGAAUCAGCGUGUCCUCCCUGGCCGAGAGGCCCGGGUAACCCGCUGAACCUCCUUCGUGCUAGGGAUUGGGGCUUGCAAUUGUUCCCCAUGAACGAGGAAUUCCCAGUAAGCGCGAGUCAUAAGCUCGCGUUGAUUACGUCCCUGCCCUUUGUACACACCGCCCGUCGCUACUACCGAUUGAAUGAUUUAGUGAGGUCUUCGGACCGGUACGCGGCGGCGCUCGCGCGUCGCCGAUGUUGCUGGGAAGAUGACCAAA